UGGGGAAUAUUGGGCAAUGGGCGCAAGCCUGACCCAGCAACGCCGCGUGAGGGAAGAAGGUCUUCGGAUUGUAAACCUCUGUCCUUGGGGACGAAAAAAACUGACGGUACCCAAGGAGGAAGCUCCGGCUAACUACGUGCCAGCAGCCGCGGUAAUACGUAGGGAGCGAGCGUUGUCCGGAAUUACUGGGCGUAAAGGGUGCGUAGGCGGCUUGGCAAGUCAGAUGUGAAAUCCCCGGGCUUAACUCGGGAGUUGCAUUUGAAACUGCUAGGCUUGAGUGCAGGAGAGGAAAGCGGAAUUCCUAGUGUAGCGGUGAAAUGCGUAGAUAUUAGGAGGAACACCGAGUGGCGAAGGCGGCUUUCUGGACUGUAACUGACGCUGAGGCACGAAAGCGUGGGG
RNAcentral lists this ribosomal RNA (399 nucleotides) under uncultured bacterium. RNAcentral describes it as "bacterial SSU rRNA". It matches the Rfam family "Bacterial small subunit ribosomal RNA", at positions 355 to 766 of the family's 1533-position model. The record is from RNAcentral.